Molecule: ribosomal RNA, 765 nt
Filed under: Triticum aestivum (bread wheat)
Lineage: Eukaryota; Viridiplantae; Streptophyta; Magnoliopsida; Poales; Poaceae
Description: partial small subunit ribosomal RNA
Source: RNAcentral
AUGGGCUCGGGUUUCCCCUACACCCAUUUGUACGUGGAGUCAUGUAUUACUAUGGGGUUGAUUUUCAUGAUAUUUCCUCCCAACUCUUUUCUCAAUAUCUCGACGUUCAUCGUCGCAUGCGAGGCCUUCCUCCGGAUUCCGCCUCACUUCGGCUUGUGGCUGAAGAUUUUCAAUGUGAAGCCCAAGGUGGUGAGUGGCGAACACGGCGAGUGCGGCGGCACCAUGGUGAGCAAGAUGCCCAAGGUAGUUUGGCCGAAGGGCACUUUCAACGACUCCGUCAAGGAGUGGCAGCAGCAGUGGUUUUAUAUCACCGAACCACGCCGCGAAGAGUGGGCUGCAGCUCCUGAGUUCAGAUCCGAAGCUCCACUGCAGCUCACGUCCUGGCCCAAGAAGGGAUCGAACUGGUGCUCGUCCGAUGAGCUGUCACUGCUCCAGACGCGCAUUCAGAGUAUGGUUAACAAGGACGUCAAACUUGUUGACAUGGUCCAGGUGAUGCUAGUUCUCCUGGUUCUCCCUUGCCAGCGUCGAGCCUGCACCUUGUGGGAGUUCGACCAAGCCGAGCACGAAACCCUCCGGGAGCUCUAUGAUUCCUCCCACGAGGAUAUCUGGAAGGUGCUCUUCAGGUCCGGCAAAUGGCCGGAUUCCACCGAGGAUCGGGGAUAUCAAUUAUCCCAUUCUCCAAGCCCAGUAAGUCACAGCCACGCCCUGUCCAUCCAUGCUUUUUGUCAUGUCCUGAGGGACAAUUCUAAUCGUGUCUCGUCGUGA